AGAGUUUGAUCCUGGCUCAGGACGAACGCUGGCGGCGUGCUUAACACAUGCAAGUCGAACGAUGAAGCCUUCGGGUGGAUUAGUGGCGAACGGGUGAGUAACACGUGGGCAAUCUGCCCUGUACUUUGGGAUAAGCCUGGGAAACUGGGUCUAAUACCGGAUAUCACCGGUCCUCGCAUGGGGGUUGGUUGAAAGUUCUGGCGGUACAGGAUGAGCCCGCGGCCUAUCAGCUUGUUGGUGGGGUAAUGGCCUACCAAGGCGACGACGGGUAGCCGGCCUGAGAGGGUGACCGGCCACACUGGGACUGAGACACGGCCCAGACUCCUACGGGAGGCAGCAGUGGGGAAUAUUGCACAAUGGGCGAAAGCCUGAUGCAGCGACGCCGCGUGAGGGAUGACGGCCUUCGGGUUGUAAACCUCUUUCGCCAGGGACGAAGCGCAAGUGACGGUACCUGGAUAAGAAGCACCGGCUAACUACGUGCCAGCAGCCGCGGUAAUACGUAGGGUGCAAGCGUUGUCCGGAAUUAUUGGGCGUAAAGAGCUCGUAGGCGGUUUGUCGCGUCGUUCGUGAAAACUCCACGCUUAACGUGGAGCGUGCGGGCGAUACGGGCAGACUUGAGUUCGGUAGGGGAGACUGGAAUUCCUGGUGUAGCGGUGAAAUGCGCAGAUAUCAGGAGGAACACCGGUGGCGAAGGCGGGUCUC
RNAcentral lists this ribosomal RNA (702 nucleotides) under Amycolatopsis coloradensis. RNAcentral's name for it is "bacterial SSU rRNA". It matches the Rfam family "Bacterial small subunit ribosomal RNA", at positions 8 to 729 of the family's 1533-position model. The record is from RNAcentral. Lineage: Bacteria; Bacillati; Actinomycetota; Actinomycetes; Pseudonocardiales; Pseudonocardiaceae.